UAGGGCAGCAACUGUAUGACAAUCCAAUGAUUGUGAAAUCUGUCAUACUGCUCAUUUCUUUCUUUUUUCCUCAUGCACUCUAAAAAUAGACAUCUUUGUGCAACAGACCCUUUCAAAGAAUGUAUUCUAAAAGCAAUAAUUUUUUUGCUGCUGUUUUUUGUUUCCAAGGUUUGAUUGAUUUCUAUUGGGGAAAAAAUCUACUUAUCAAGUUCCAUGAAUUCCAGUGGAAUUUACUCCCAGAAAAACAGGUUUAAGACCCCAGCCCUCUUUGUAUGAUUUCUUUUAUUGGCAAAUAUUAUAAGGAAUAUUACACAGAUUCCUGGAGACAAGAAGAACUUUUUUUCCACGGGCUUACUCCAAGCUAACAGAGGACUACAGCUUUGGUGGCUUCAAAUGGCAACUUUGUCUUCCUAAAAUAAUCCUGACAACUGGAUUGCUAAUCUUAUGUGAUUCAGGAGAAAUGUGGGAAUAAGGAGAAAUGGUAAGAAACAAUGGCUACAUGUCUUCAUUUUUUGUGGAAUACUUCAGGUCAGAUUUCUUAUCAACCAGCACUGUAGUACUUUAAGAGAGUCCAUUUCUUCCUUCAUCUCCUUCUCUAACAGCUGUUGUAUUAAUUCCCUUUCCUACUAAAACCUAAUAUUUCCUGUCAUACAGCUACUGAGCAUUUCAGUCCUCAUGGUUUUUUUUUUAAUUUCAGCAAGUCUCAAGGUUUUCCUGAGCAUCCUCAAUGGUCCUAUUUUGACUACAAACCUAUCAGCACUUAUCACCUGUUAUUAAAUGAAAUGAGAAACCUUUGGAAUAAUAAGCCUCAAUUAUAUUUUGUACCUCCUCAGUUAGAUAGUGUAUUUAAAGAAUGAAAUUUAUGCUUUGAGCUAUAUGCUCAAUGAAUUUCCCAACUGUUUGCUGAAAUACGACCUUUUCUUUCUGUUUUC
This is a long non-coding RNA of Candoia aspera, 932 nucleotides long. RefSeq lists it as uncharacterized. The transcript is spliced from 4 exons. NCBI's taxonomy places the organism in Eukaryota, Metazoa, Chordata, Lepidosauria, Squamata, Candoiidae. The record is from RefSeq and is a predicted model, not a curated record.